Hibiscus syriacus is the source of this 687-nucleotide long non-coding RNA. RefSeq lists it as uncharacterized. The record is from RefSeq and is a predicted model, not a curated record. The transcript has 3 exons. NCBI's taxonomy places the organism in Eukaryota, Viridiplantae, Streptophyta, Magnoliopsida, Malvales, Malvaceae.
UAUAUCUUUGGCCUCAAAAGAAAGAACAAAUUAAAAAUCAGGGAAGGAAAUGUUAGGGUUCGUUUCUUGCUUACAUCCCCAAAUCCCCUCAACUUCUCCAAAUCUACACUCCGUUUUCAGAUAUUCUUCUUUAUUUCCCAACCUCAAAUCCACAUUCCACUACCCUCGACCUUCACGAUUCAUCCUCUAGCUCAAAUGGAAACAACAACGAUGAUUUAACCAAACAACCUAACAAGAAACCAGAAGAAAGGCAAGUGAUGGGGAUUCGAAGGACGAUCGGCGGUCCAUUUUUAAUUUCAGGCUGGGUGAUUUGCUGGAUCCGGAUCCUGAUAUAUCGUAGCCCUUGGAUUGACGGUCUGCUGACGUGGGCCAGUGUUCAGGUCGAGAUUUGAAGCCGUUUCCUUUUGAUAAAUAUCCCCCGGCGAUUGCCAUCACUUUUCUUCACUGCCGAGGUUGAGCUAGGAAUGGUUCGAAUGUCAUCAACAUCCGAUUGCUUGAACCACUUCAACAUGAAAAUACCAUCUGAACACCUGCAAGUAUUACAAUACUAGGAUUCAAACUUCUUGUAUCUCAUACUAUGCUAAAAUCAUUCAUCCAACUCGCUUCGAUUCUGUUCUAACCACGAUGCAAAACUAUGUUGAUUAUCAUACCUGGAAGAACCAAGCAUCCUGACGUUUUUCCGCCCAA